Molecule: long non-coding RNA, 249 nt
Filed under: Vigna radiata
Lineage: Eukaryota; Viridiplantae; Streptophyta; Magnoliopsida; Fabales; Fabaceae
Description: long non-coding RNA (VRAD_LNC000409)
Source: RNAcentral
UCGGUGAUUGGAAAGUGAACGUUGAGGUAUAGGAAGUUUGUGAGAAUUGUGGUGAGUAUGAUGUAAGUGAUGCUAGGACUAGAUGCCUAACAAUGCGAGUUUUCGGUUUUAUUGAAGAAAUUUUUAAAUGCAAAAGUUUGUUCAAAAUAAAACGAUAUUUUAACUUGAAUCAAUUCACACUCUUCUUGAUUUAUCCUAUGCUUAAACCUUCUCCCGCACGGGUUCUACAUUCCAAAGUGUUAAUAAAUG